GUUCGCAACACCUCCGCCGACUCUCCGCUUUCUCUGUAGAAGAGCAUCCAUCUCCUUUGUGCUAAGGACUUGCCCAUGGUUUUGCCCCAGUGUGUUUGUCCUGGAUUGCAGUUCUCUGCUAUUCCCAGCUACCCAAGGGGACGGCAUUUCAUUAAUAAAGAGUGAUUAUGUUCACAUAAUCCUGGCAGUGGGGAAGAAGAGGGUACUACUGAAUCACCGCAGGUGAAGUGGUAAGAACAGAAUGGCCAAUCUUAGUCAUCAGAAGUCCAACGUCUCAUCGGACUUACAGCCCUCUAGAGCUCCAUGUGGUCAAGUACUAAGAGUAUGUACAUUUCCUUCUCUGAACAAGUUAGACUUGUGGUCACCUCUCAUUCUAUCUUGCAUUGAAAAAAAAAAAAACAACUUUCCGCUGAGAAAGGAAAAAGAAAUCAUUCUUCUCUCAUUUUUUAUUAAAGAUUGACUACAUAAAA
This is a long non-coding RNA of Zalophus californianus (California sea lion), 470 nucleotides long. RefSeq lists it as uncharacterized. The transcript is spliced from 2 exons. Lineage: Eukaryota; Metazoa; Chordata; Mammalia; Carnivora; Otariidae. The record is from RefSeq and is a predicted model, not a curated record.